RNAcentral lists this ribosomal RNA (228 nucleotides) under uncultured bacterium. RNAcentral describes it as "partial 16S ribosomal RNA". It matches the Rfam family "Bacterial small subunit ribosomal RNA", at positions 524 to 747 of the family's 1533-position model. The record is from RNAcentral.
UACGUAGGGUGCGAGCGUUAAUCGGAAUUACUGGGCGUAAAGCGUGCGCAGGCGGUCUGUUAAGACCGAUGUGAAAUCCCCGGGCUUAAACCUGGGGAACUGCAUUGGUGACUGGCAGGCUUUGAGUGUGGCAGAGGGAGGUAGAAUUCCACGUGUAGCAGUGAAAUGCGUAGAGAUGUGGAGGAAUACCGAAUGGCGAAGGCAGCCUCCUGGGCCAACACUGACGUC